CAGCAUAAAUGGUGCGCUGCCACUUUAAGGCCAAUUUCAGCGGAUGCAUAUAAGCAAGCCUUCACCUGUCAUGAGGCUGCUUGCGUUGUGACGUCAACUGAAUCUGCUUCCUUUGUUUGCACUGUUCUGGGUAAGCGUGGCUGUUUUAUGGUUUGUCGGCUUUAAUAAUGGCUAUUAAUGCUAAUUGGUUUAUCUGCUUAGCCUCCUUUGCUGCACUUCCAGUAUCUGGACCGAUCUGUCCAUUCAUUUGUUUGCUGACAGGAAGUUGCACUGCAUCUAGGCGGAAUUGGGGAUCUGAUUAUUUGGCAGUGCAGUCAUUAAUCAGGUCACAGGUAAGCAGCUGCUGCAAGUUAGGUUUUUGUUAGCAGUUGUAUUAAUAAUUUGCUCUAUUCUUUUUAGCCUUCUGACUCAUCAGCAUUGUACCUGGAGUGACACUCGCUGCUGUUUUGCCUACUUAGAAAUUGUUUUAAAAUACUAAUCUGCACUUUCCCUGGGGAUAAAGUGCAACCUUGUAGAGCUAUUGUAUCACUGUUUUACUUGUAUUGUUUCGUUUUUUUUUUUGUCUUUCUUUUAGGGACUGAGGCUUCUGUGGUGGCGGUGGUGACCCCUGGUGGCGGUGUCUUGUCUUGUGUGUUUUGUUGGAGCACCUUUUUCUUUGUUUGCUGUGUUUUUGUAGUGUCCAGGGUGGUCCCUUUUUCUGCACUGGAUGUUGCCCCCUUCCCUCACUCCCUCCCCCAUUGGUAAGCCUCAGUUUCCUUUGAAAUUUAAACAUUUUAUUAUAAUAAAUCUUGUCAAAUGCAUUCACUGUUUUAACCAUUCAAUUUCAGAUUAUUGGAAAUU
This is a long non-coding RNA of Poecilia latipinna (sailfin molly), 840 nucleotides long. RefSeq lists it as uncharacterized. The transcript is spliced from 2 exons. NCBI's taxonomy places the organism in Eukaryota, Metazoa, Chordata, Actinopteri, Cyprinodontiformes, Poeciliidae. The record is from RefSeq and is a predicted model, not a curated record.